AACGCACCUUGCGCCCUCUGGUAUUCCGGAGGGCACGCCUGUUUGAGUGUCUUGAAAUCAUCACCCCCUCGGCUUUGUUGUCGGGGGAGUGGACAUGGAGGUCUUGCUGCCCUAGGCGGCUCCUCUCAAAUGCAUCUGCUGGGCCUUCGAGGCCGUGCUCUAUUUGGGCGUUGUAUCUUCCUCGCUCUCAGGGUGCGCCUCGACUCGUAGUGCCUCGCAUGGACGGUCGCGCAGAGUCGCCCGUCUGCCCUUUGGCAACCAUCGAAUUCUGACCUCAAAUCAGGUGGGACUACCCGCUGAACUUAA
This 306-nucleotide unclassified non-coding RNA is filed under the name uncultured fungus. Its description in RNAcentral is "partial contains 5.8S ribosomal RNA, internal transcribed spacer 2, and large subunit ribosomal RNA". The stretch from base 1 to 52 matches the Rfam family "5.8S ribosomal RNA", at positions 103 to 154 of the family's 154-position model. Lineage: Eukaryota; Fungi. The record is from RNAcentral.